Long non-coding RNA from Episyrphus balteatus (marmalade hoverfly), 1611 nucleotides. RefSeq lists it as uncharacterized. The transcript has 3 exons. The record is from RefSeq and is a predicted model, not a curated record. Lineage: Eukaryota; Metazoa; Arthropoda; Insecta; Diptera; Syrphidae.
UAUUCAAUUUCAAAAUUUCACUUUUGACAAAUAAAACAAAAUUUAAUCCGAUUUUAAAAAUUUUUGAAUGAGACAAAUAAAAUUUUAAUAACGAAAAAAAAUUUAAUUUUAACGCAAAAAAACUGAAAAAUAGCAAAUAAUAAUUGUUAAUUAAAAACGUCACAUCUGCUGAGGGAAAUCCUGAAAAUGGUAUUAAUGAUACCAGUGUCAAGUGGAUCUUCAUCUAUUGAACUUUCGGAACCAGCUAAUCAUCAUUAAAAACCCGAAGAAUCGUUCGAAGAAAAUCCAGCCCGAAUAAAAAGAACACAUUCAGCAUUCAGAGCUGAAUGAAAACUCCAAUCUCCAAGGGAAUCGCGUUCGGGAGAACGUUCUCAAUCAAAAAGUUUCUGGAAAUUUUGCAAUUUUUUUCCUUUUUCAUCGUUUUUAACGAUAAGGGAACAAAAUUAAAACAACAAAGGAAUGAUAUUCUUGCAAUUUUUUCGAUUGUGAACCUGAUUUCAUGAAGAAGAAAAAUGCCAGCAAUGAAGCAAAUCUUAUUUCAACUACAAACAAUUGUUGCAGUUUCUUAAACAAUCUGCAAUCGUCUAUCAACCAAUUACCCUUCAUAUUUUUAAGCCUUCCAAAAUUAUUUAUGAUUAAAAAUGUCCGUUUUUAAAUUGAAAAUAAAAGUAAGCUAUGAAAUUUAUAUACUAAAUGUGUCAAAUGUGUCAUGGAAAAUUUUUCGUUUUCAAAUAAAAAAUUUUAAAUCGAAGUUGCUAUGAAUUUUUAAAAUUUCAAUCUGUCAUGGAAAAUUUUUCCCUUCAAAUAAAAAAAUUUAAAUCGAGGUAGCUGUGAAAAUUUCAAACGAAAUAAAGGAAAAAAACGAUUUUAAUCGAGCGAAAGAGGCAAGACUGUUUUGUGUGAGCUGAAGAAAAUAUUGAAUUAUUUCAAAAUGCAAGAUAUUAAAAAUAUUUACGAAAAUGUGCUGAAAAUUGCUACAAAAUGCUGCAGCAGAUUUCGAAUCAAGCGAAUCGAUCAUUCUAAAGGUAAUGAUGUAUAUUAUUACAAAAAUUCAUUUGACAGGAUUCGUGGUGUUAAACACCUGAUUACUUUUGAGCCCAACAGGGCUUUUGACAACACAAAGACAUUCCACGACAGACCAGCCUAUCUCGUCUUUGCUCAGGUUAAUCGAAAAGUCCGAUUUAACCUGAGCAGAGAUGUCUAAGCAUCGAUUCUGUCAUGGAAGCACUUGACAAUGGUGGCAUCAACACCAUUUUCAGGAUGUCUCCAUGGCAGAUGAGAGGUUUGUUUAAUAAUUUCUAUUUAUUUCUUUUCUUUUCAGGUCGGGCACGACAGUUGGGUUUAUCAGUUGGGUAAUGUUGUAUCCCUACAAGAAGCGAGGGGUAGACAUUAACUAGCUGAUAAGCCGGAUUGUUGUGCCCGGGUACGAUUGUUGGGCUCGUCAGUUAGAGGGUGUUGUAUCCUUCCAAGAAGUGAAGGGUAGACACAAUCUGGCUGAUGAGCCCAACUUUCGUGCCCAAGGAUGAGCGAAGGGUUGAAACAAUCUGGCUGAUGAAUCCAAGUUUUGUGCCCAAGGACGAGACGAUGACGGGUGGACAGAAAUGUUGCGUC